Molecule: ribosomal RNA, 253 nt
Filed under: uncultured bacterium
Lineage: Bacteria
Description: partial 16S ribosomal RNA
Rfam family: Bacterial small subunit ribosomal RNA
Source: RNAcentral
UACGUAGGGUGCGAGCGUUGUCCGGAUUUAUUGGGCGUAAAGAGCGUGUAGGCGGUUUGGUAGGUCCGUUGUGAAAACUCGAGGCUCAACCUCGAGACGCCGAUGGAAACCAUCAGACUAGAGUCCGGAAGAGGAGAGUGGAAUUCCUGGUGUAGCGGUGAAAUGCGCAGAUAUCAGGAAGAACACCCGUGGCUAAGGCGGCUCUCUAGUACGGUACUGACGCUGAGACGCGAAAGCGUGGGGAGCGAACAGG